This is a long non-coding RNA of Amblyraja radiata (thorny skate), 1147 nucleotides long. RefSeq lists it as uncharacterized. The transcript has 2 exons. The record is from RefSeq and is a predicted model, not a curated record. Lineage: Eukaryota; Metazoa; Chordata; Chondrichthyes; Rajiformes; Rajidae.
GUUGGCUUCGGUGGACUGAAGGGUGUGUUUCUGUGCUUCAUCUCUAUACUAAACUAAAGGGGGGGGUUUUAAACAAAGGAAAAUCCAAAUUUACAAUUGUGGCAUUAACUAGCAGCAGUCCCAUUUGUUCUUUGUGUUACCUGUGCUUCCUAUUGACCCAUCUCUUUGCCUCCCAGUCCAGUGCUGAUCCAUUGUCAAAAGUAAAAUCUGGCCAAUACCAUGAGACUAUCUUCACCAGGAUUUUUCUUCAUGGAGAAUGUGUCUUCCUGUUACUCUUAUCAUGUUUGCGGUGCAACUGGCCAAGUAAGAGAUAAUUGAGAUAAACCCAUCCCACUGAACUCAGCAGAGUGUCUGUCCCAGUCCAAGUGCAUGGGAGUGUUGCUGAAUUUAUGGAUUGGAUUUGACAAAGUGCUUAAAAAUAGCUUGAUGAGUAAAAACAUCCUGCUUCAUUGACCCUGUAAAUGUGUUUAUGCAUUUUUCAAUGUGGAUAUUGGAAUCCUUGGACCAAAGACAUGGUUAGUUAAGAGAUCAGUCAUCUUAUUGCGCUUGGAAAGGUUUUUGUAAUUAACCUGACCACUGUUAACAGGAACCCUGUGCAGCAAUCAUUCUCCCAAGUCUUCAGCACCUUGAUUUCAAGCCGGAAGUUGACAUGUAGACAUGAUAUUGAUCUAGCUAAUCAAAAUGUCAUUCCCCGGAGGAACACGUCAUCAUUUGAACAAUAAAUGCAGUUACUGCAAAUGCUGACAUCAUGGUUGGUGGAGGAAGGAAAGAGAAUGGGCUCCCUGCUCUCUUGGGAAGAAGCAGUGACUAAUGUAGAACCAAGUCAUGAAGACUACCUUUGAAUGUAGUAUAUUUGACCUGCCAUUUGUUUGCACGGUCGGGAGUGAUGCUGUGGCUUUCCUCAUGAAGGAGGGGAUAGAUCAACUGAGGGUAUCACAUCCUGAAAGAAAUUACUACAAAUAUACCAUGCCCUUGGAUUGAGAGGGAAGCCAUAUUGAACACUAUUUUCCUAAAACGUUGUCCUGACCUUACUGAUCCCUAGCGGAUUUUGCUUGUCUAUUAAUUUUGCAUGUAUUGAGUAUUUCCAUAUUUUUGUCAUAUUUUGAAGGAGACACUUUUUCCAAAGGAGGAAAAAUAAAUGAAGGAG